GACGAACGCUGGCGGCGUGCUUAACACAUGCAAGUCGAACGGAAAGGCCCUGCUUUUGUGGGGUGCUCGAGUGGCGAACGGGGGAGUAACACGUGAGUAACCUGCCCUUGACUUUGGGAUAACUUCAGGAAACUGGGGCUAAUACCGGAUAGGAGCUCCUGCUGCAUGGUGGUGGUUGGAAAGUUUCGGCGGUUGGGGAUGGACUCGCGGCUUAUCAGCUUGUUGGUGGGGUAGUGGCAUACCAAGGCUUUGACGGGUAGCCGGCCUGAGAGGGUGACCGGCCACAUUGGGACUGCGAUACGGCCCAGACUCCUACGGGAGGCAGCAGUGGGGAAUAUUGCACAAUGGGCGGAAGCCUGAUGCAGCAACGCCGCGUGCGGGAUGACGGCCUUCGGGUUGUAAACCGCUUUCGCCUGUGACGAAGCGUGAGUGACGGUAAUGGGUAAAGAAGCACCGGCUAACUACGUG
Molecule: ribosomal RNA, 468 nt
Filed under: uncultured bacterium
Lineage: Bacteria
Description: partial 16S ribosomal RNA
Rfam family: Bacterial small subunit ribosomal RNA
Source: RNAcentral